Molecule: ribosomal RNA, 465 nt
Filed under: Vreelandella stevensii
Lineage: Bacteria; Pseudomonadati; Pseudomonadota; Gammaproteobacteria; Oceanospirillales; Halomonadaceae
Description: partial 16S ribosomal RNA
Rfam family: Bacterial small subunit ribosomal RNA
Source: RNAcentral
CCUACGGGUGGCAGCAGUGGGGAAUAUUGGACAAUGGGCGAAAGCCUGAUCCAGCCAUGCCGCGUGUGUGAAGAAGGCCUUCGGGUUGUAAAGCACUUUCAGUGGGGAAGAAAGCCUUGGGGCUAAUACCCUCGAGGAAGGACAUCACCCACAGAAGAAGCACCGGCUAACUCCGUGCCAGCAGCCGCGGUAAUACGGAGGGUGCGAGCGUUAAUCGGAAUUACUGGGCGUAAAGCGCGCGUAGGCGGUCUGAUAAGCCGGUUGGGAAAGCCCCGGGCUCAACCUGGGAACGGCAUCCGGAACUGUCAGGCUAGAGUGCAGGAGAGGAAGGUAGAAUUCCCGGUGUAGCGGUGAAAUGCGUAGAGAUCGGGAGGAAUACCAGUGGCGAAGGCGGCCUUCUGGACUGACACUGACGCUGAGGUGCGAAAGCGUGGGUAGCAAACAGGAUUAGAUACCCUUGUAGUC